RNAcentral lists this ribosomal RNA (253 nucleotides) under uncultured bacterium. Its description in RNAcentral is "partial 16S ribosomal RNA". It matches the Rfam family "Bacterial small subunit ribosomal RNA", at positions 524 to 776 of the family's 1533-position model. The record is from RNAcentral.
UACGAGGGGUGCAAGCGUUGCUCGGAAUUAUUGGGCGUAAAGGGUAGGUAGGUGGUCUCAUUUGUCUGGGGUGAAAGCCUUGAGCUUAACUCGAGAAGUGCCUCAGAAACGGUGAGACUAGAGUUCUGGAGAGGGUCGUGGAAUUCCCGGUGUAGCGGUGAAAUGCGCAGAUAUCGGGAGGAACACCAGUAGCGAAGGCGGCACUCUGGGCCGGUACUGACGCUGAGGAGCGAAAGCGUGGGGAGCAAACAGG